AGCCUUCAAAAUCAAAUUGUAUGGAGUAACUCAUUACAUUGCUGCAGAAUCCCUUCCUGAACGUUUCAAGCAUCGCUAUCACUGCUAUCAUCGUCAUCGUUCCCCAGAUCCGACGCAAAAUAAACUCCAGGAUGCACCGUUCGCCGCCGCGUCCUUGAAGGAAGAAUGUUGUCCAAAUCGACCUCCGCAAGUGGAUCAUCCGACAAAUCACUCUCUUCAGAAUCAAAAUCGCUUCCAUCGUCACCGGAAUCUUCAUCGUCGUCAUCGUCUUCCUCUAUCAAUUUCCCUUUUCCUUUCUCAUCCGUCAUAAUACCUUUCCCCUUCCGAUCCUCAGCCGCUUUUCCACUCGACUUUUCACCAUCUUCACUGUCGUCUUCAUCCUCAUCCAUCUCGCCCAGAACUCCAU
RNAcentral lists this unclassified non-coding RNA (406 nucleotides) under Hevea brasiliensis (rubber tree). The record is from RNAcentral. Lineage: Eukaryota; Viridiplantae; Streptophyta; Magnoliopsida; Malpighiales; Euphorbiaceae.